AUGGAGAGGAUCACUCAAAUGAACGAUGAAGUCAGCACACCGAUUCUUGAAGAGGUCUCACCGUCAGAUCUCUUCUUGACCAAGGAGGAUGCUGAUGUGACAUUUGAGGUGGGUGGCAAUACAUUCCCUGCGCACCGGUGUAUAAUUGCUGCCCAGUCCAAUAGAUAUGAUAUCCGGGAGAUGAAAUUGAUAUGUCAAAACAAGUUACGGGAGUGCAUUGACGUGAGCAUGGUGGCUGGCAUUCUUGCUCUAGCUGAGCAGCACGAUUGCCCUAGGUUGAAGGAGGCAUGCUUGGAGUUCCUCAAAACUCCUGCGAAUUUGCAGGAAGUCAAAGUAUGUUCUGAAGUAGCCUUGGAGCAUAUAGUUUUAACGUUCCCCUCUGUUGUCAAGGAGCUCUUGCCCGAGUUCUUCUUCUUCAGAUCAAACCAAGCUAAGUUUUCUCCGGUCCCCAUCCUAUGCCACCAAACCUUCGUCUGCUCCGGAUCCGGCAGCGAGCCAAGAACAGAAACCUACAUAGAUGAGAUUACCAUGGGGCUCAACCCAACAGGAGUCGAGAAGAACAUCCGUAGUAGAUAUCCAAGCGCCAAAUCAGCCGAUCCGACGUGGCCAGCGGGGAAGACCACCACCCCGCGCCGGCCGACCGCGUCCGGCAUCAGAUCGAGAUCCGAUCUGAACCUGGCGGCACCGGCAACCACCUAG
This 699-nucleotide ribosomal RNA is filed under the name Triticum aestivum (bread wheat). RNAcentral describes it as "partial small subunit ribosomal RNA". The record is from RNAcentral. Lineage: Eukaryota; Viridiplantae; Streptophyta; Magnoliopsida; Poales; Poaceae.